GACGAACGCUGGCGGCGUGCUUAACACAUGCAAGUCGAACGGAAAGGCCCUGCUUGCAGGGUACUCGAGUGGCGAACGGGUGAGUAACACGUGGGUGAUCUGCCCUGCACUUCGGGAUAAGCCUGGGAAACUGGGUCUAAUACCGGAUAGGAGCCAUUUUUAGUGUGAUGGUUGGAAAGUUUUUUCGGUGUAGGAUGAGCUCGCGGCCUAUCAGCUUGUUGGUGGGGUAAUGGCCUACCAAGGCGGCGACGGGUAGCCGGCCUGAGAGGGUGGACGGCCAAAUUGGGACUGAGAUACGGCCCAGACUCCUACGGGAGGCAGCAGUGGGGAAUAUUGCACAAUGGGCGCAAGCCUGAUGCAGCGACGCCGCGUGGGGGAUGACGGCCUUCGGGUUGUAAACUCCUUUCGCUAGGGACGAAGCUUUUUGUGACGGUACCUAGAUAAGAAGCACCGGCUAACUACGUG
This 465-nucleotide ribosomal RNA is filed under the name uncultured bacterium. RNAcentral describes it as "partial 16S ribosomal RNA". It matches the Rfam family "Bacterial small subunit ribosomal RNA", at positions 28 to 507 of the family's 1533-position model. The record is from RNAcentral.